AUACGGAGGAUGCGAGCGUUAUCCGGAUUUAUUGGGUUUAAAGGGUGCGUAGGCGGUUUGUCAAGUCAGCGGUGAAACGCAAGGGCUUAACCCUUGACCUGCCGUUGAAACUGAUUGACUAGAAUGCGGAUGCUGUGGGAGGAAUGUGUGGUGUAGCGGUGAAAUGCAUAGAUAUCACACAGAACACCGAUUGCGAAGGCAUCUCACAAAUCCGUGAUUGACGCUGAGGCACGAAAGUGUGGGGAUCAAACAGGAUUAGAUACCCUGGUAGUCCACACUGUAAACGAUGAUAACUCGCUGUCGGCGAUACACAGUCGGUGGCCAAGCGAAAGCGAUAAGUUAUCCACCUGGGGAGUACGACCGCAAGGUUGAAACUUAAAGGAAUUGGCGGGG
Molecule: ribosomal RNA, 393 nt
Filed under: uncultured bacterium
Lineage: Bacteria
Description: partial 16S ribosomal RNA
Rfam family: Bacterial small subunit ribosomal RNA
Source: RNAcentral